AAUCAACGCUGGCGGCGUGCCUCAGACAUGCAAGUCGAACGAUUAAAGCUCCCUUCGGGGAGUGCAUAGAGUGGCGCACGGGUGAGUAACACGUAAGUAAUCUACCUUUGAGUGGGGAAUAACGUUCGGAAACGGACGCUAAUACCGCAUAAUGCAGCGGCAUCGCAAGAUGACAGUUGUUAAAGGAGCAAUCCGCUUAAAGAGGAGCUUGCGGCAGAUUAGCUUGUUGGUAAGGUAACGGCUUACCAAGGCUACGAUCUGUAUCCGGUCUAAGAGGACGGUCGGACACACUGACACUGAAUAACGGGUCAGACUCCUACGGGAGGCAGCAGUCGGGAAUUUUGGGCAAUGGGCGAAAGCCUGACCCAGCAACGCCGCGUGAAGGAUGAAGUAUUUCGGUAUGUAAACUUCGGAAGAAUAGGAAGAAUAAAUGACGGUACUAUUUAUAAGCUCCGGCUAACUACGUGCCAGCAGCCGCAGUAAU
RNAcentral lists this ribosomal RNA (484 nucleotides) under uncultured bacterium. RNAcentral's name for it is "bacterial SSU rRNA". It matches the Rfam family "Bacterial small subunit ribosomal RNA", at positions 32 to 524 of the family's 1533-position model. The record is from RNAcentral.